This 497-nucleotide ribosomal RNA is filed under the name uncultured bacterium. Its description in RNAcentral is "partial 16S ribosomal RNA". It matches the Rfam family "Bacterial small subunit ribosomal RNA", at positions 28 to 507 of the family's 1533-position model. The record is from RNAcentral.
GAUGAACGCUGGCGGCGUGCCUAAUACAUGCAAGUCGAGCGAACAGACGAGGAGCUUGCUCCUCUGACGUUAGCGGCGGACGGGUGAGUAACACGUGGAUAACCUACCUAUAAGACUGGGAUAACUUCGGGAAACCGGAGCUAAUACCGGAUAAUAUAUUGAACCGCAUGGUUCAAUAGUGAAAGACGGUUUUGCUGUCACUUAUAGAUGGAUCCGCGCCGCAUUAGCUAGUUGGUAAGGUAACGGCUUACCAAGGCAACGAUGCGUAGCCGACCUGAGAGGGUGAUAGGCCACACUGGAACUGAGACACGGUCCAGACUCCUACGGGAGGCAGCAGUAGGGAAUCUUACGCAAUGGGCGAAAGCCUGACGGAGCAACGCCGAGUGAGUGAUGAAGGUCUUCGGAUCGUAAAACUCUGUUAUUAGGGAAGAACAAAUGUGUAAGUAACUAUGCACGUCUUGACGGUACCUAAUCAGAAAGCCACGGCUAACUACGUG